UGCAAGUCGAGCGGUAACAGAAAGUAGCUUGCUACUUUGCUGACGAGCGGCGGACGGGUGAGUAAUGCUUGGGAACAUGCCUUGAGGUGGGGGACAACAGUUGGAAACGACUGCUAAUACCGCAUAAUGUCUACGGACCAAAGGGGGCUUCGGCUCUCGCCUUUAGAUUGGCCCAAGUGGGAUUAGCUAGUUGGUGAGGUAAUGGCUCACCAAGGCAACGAUCCCUAGCUGGUUUGAGAGGAUGAUCAGCCACACUGGAACUGAGACACGGUCCAGACUCCUACGGGAGGCAGCAGUGGGGAAUAUUGCACAAUGGGCGAAAGCCUGAUGCAGCCAUGCCGCGUGUGUGAAGAAGGCCUUCGGGUUGUAAAGCACUUUCAGUCAGGAGGAAAGGGUGUGAGUUAAUACCUCAUAUCUGUGACGUUACUGACAGAAGAAGCACCGGCUAACUCCGUGCCAGCAGCCGCGGUAAUACGGAGGGUGCGAGCGUUAAUCGGAAUUACUGGGCGUAAAGCGUACGCAGGCGGUUUGUUAAGCGAGAUGUGAAAGCCCCGGGCUCAACCUGGGAACUGCAUUUCGAACUGGCAAACUAGAGUGUGAUAGAGGGUGGUAGAAUUUCAGGUGUAGCGGUGAAAUGCGUAGAGAUCUGAAGGAAUACCGAUGGCGAAGGCAGCCACCUGGGUCAACACUGACGCUCAUGUACGAAAGCGUGGGGAGCAAACGGGAUUAGAUACCCCGGUAGUCCACGCCGUAAACGAUGUCUACUAGAAGCUCGGA
This 777-nucleotide ribosomal RNA is filed under the name Pseudoalteromonas sp. RNAcentral's name for it is "bacterial SSU rRNA". It matches the Rfam family "Bacterial small subunit ribosomal RNA", at positions 56 to 828 of the family's 1533-position model. The record is from RNAcentral. Lineage: Bacteria; Pseudomonadati; Pseudomonadota; Gammaproteobacteria; Alteromonadales; Pseudoalteromonadaceae.